This 2924-nucleotide ribosomal RNA is filed under the name Escherichia coli. RNAcentral describes it as "bacterial LSU rRNA". It matches the Rfam family "Bacterial large subunit ribosomal RNA". The record is from RNAcentral. Lineage: Bacteria; Pseudomonadati; Pseudomonadota; Gammaproteobacteria; Enterobacterales; Enterobacteriaceae.
GGGUUGUGAGGUUAAGCGACUAAGCGUACACGGUGGAUGCCCUGGCAGUCAGAGGCGAUGAAGGACGUGCUAAUCUGCGAUAAGCGUCGGUAAGGUGAUAUGAACCGUUAUAACCGGCGAUUUCCGAAUGGGGAAACCCAGUGUGUUUCGACACACUAUCAUUAACUGAAUCCAUAGGUUAAUGAGGCGAACCGGGGGAACUGAAACAUCUAAGUACCCCGAGGAAAAGAAAUCAACCGAGAUUCCCCCAGUAGCGGCGAGCGAACGGGGAGGAGCCCAGAGCCUGAAUCAGUGUGUGUGUUAGUGGAAGCGUCUGGAAAGGCGCGCGAUACAGGGUGACAGCCCCGUACACAAAAAUGCACAUGCUGUGAGCUCGAUGAGUAGGGCGGGACACGUGGUAUCCUGUCUGAAUAUGGGGGGACCAUCCUCCAAGGCUAAAUACUCCUGACUGACCGAUAGUGAACCAGUACCGUGAGGGAAAGGCGAAAAGAACCCCGGCGAGGGGAGUGAAAAAGAACCUGAAACCGUGUACGUACAAGCAGUGGGAGCACGCUUAGGCGUGUGACUGCGUACCUUUUGUAUAAUGGGUCAGCGACUUAUAUUCUGUAGCAAGGUUAACCGAAUAGGGGAGCCGAAGGGAAACCGAGUCUUAACUGGGCGUUAAGUUGCAGGGUAUAGACCCGAAACCCGGUGAUCUAGCCAUGGGCAGGUUGAAGGUUGGGUAACACUAACUGGAGGACCGAACCGACUAAUGUUGAAAAAUUAGCGGAUGACUUGUGGCUGGGGGUGAAAGGCCAAUCAAACCGGGAGAUAGCUGGUUCUCCCCGAAAGCUAUUUAGGUAGCGCCUCGUGAAUUCAUCUCCGGGGGUAGAGCACUGUUUCGGCAAGGGGGUCAUCCCGACUUACCAACCCGAUGCAAACUGCGAAUACCGGAGAAUGUUAUCACGGGAGACACACGGCGGGUGCUAACGUCCGUCGUGAAGAGGGAAACAACCCAGACCGCCAGCUAAGGUCCCAAAGUCAUGGUUAAGUGGGAAACGAUGUGGGAAGGCCCAGACAGCCAGGAUGUUGGCUUAGAAGCAGCCAUCAUUUAAAGAAAGCGUAAUAGCUCACUGGUCGAGUCGGCCUGCGCGGAAGAUGUAACGGGGCUAAACCAUGCACCGAAGCUGCGGCAGCGACACUGUGUGUUGUUGGGUAGGGGAGCGUUCUGUAAGCCUGUGAAGGUGUACUGUGAGGUAUGCUGGAGGUAUCAGAAGUGCGAAUGCUGACAUAAGUAACGAUAAAGCGGGUGAAAAGCCCGCUCGCCGGAAGACCAAGGGUUCCUGUCCAACGUUAAUCGGGGCAGGGUGAGUCGACCCCUAAGGCGAGGCCGAAAGGCGUAGUCGAUGGGAAACAGGUUAAUAUUCCUGUACUUGGUGUUACUGCGAAGGGGGGACGGAGAAGGCUAUGUUGGCCGGGCGACGGUUGUCCCGGUUUAAGCGUGUAGGCUGGUUUUCCAGGCAAAUCCGGAAAAUCAAGGCUGAGGCGUGAUGACGAGGCACUACGGUGCUGAAGCAACAAAUGCCCUGCUUCCAGGAAAAGCCUCUAAGCAUCAGGUAACAUCAAAUCGUACCCCAAACCGACACAGGUGGUCAGGUAGAGAAUACCAAGGCGCUUGAGAGAACUCGGGUGAAGGAACUAGGCAAAAUGGUGCCGUAACUUCGGGAGAAGGCACGCUGAUAUGUAGGUGAAGUCCCUCGCGGAUGGAGCUGAAAUCAGUCGAAGAUACCAGCUGGCUGCAACUGUUUAUUAAAAACACAGCACUGUGCAAACACGAAAGUGGACGUAUACGGUGUGACGCCUGCCCGGUGCCGGAAGGUUAAUUGAUGGGGUUAGCGCAAGCGAAGCUCUUGAUCGAAGCCCCGGUAAACGGCGGCCGUAACUAUAACGGUCCUAAGGUAGCGAAAUUCCUUGUCGGGUAAGUUCCGACCUGCACGAAUGGCGUAAUGAUGGCCAGGCUGUCUCCACCCGAGACUCAGUGAAAUUGAACUCGCUGUGAAGAUGCAGUGUACCCGCGGCAAGACGGAAAGACCCCGUGAACCUUUACUAUAGCUUGACACUGAACAUUGAGCCUUGAUGUGUAGGAUAGGUGGGAGGCUUAGAAGUGUGGACGCCAGUCUGCAUGGAGCCGACCUUGAAAUACCACCCUUUAAUGUUUGAUGUUCUAACGUUGACCCGUAAUCCGGGUUGCGGACAGUGUCUGGUGGGUAGUUUGACUGGGGCGGUCUCCUCCUAAAGAGUAACGGAGGAGCACGAAGGUUGGCUAAUCCUGGUCGGACAUCAGGAGGUUAGUGCAAUGGCAUAAGCCAGCUUGACUGCGAGCGUGACGGCGCGAGCAGGUGCGAAAGCAGGUCAUAGUGAUCCGGUGGUUCUGAAUGGAAGGGCCAUCGCUCAACGGAUAAAAGGUACUCCGGGGAUAACAGGCUGAUACCGCCCAAGAGUUCAUAUCGACGGCGGUGUUUGGCACCUCGAUGUCGGCUCAUCACAUCCUGGGGCUGAAGUAGGUCCCAAGGGUAUGGCUGUUCGCCAUUUAAAGUGGUACGCGAGCUGGGUUUAGAACGUCGUGAGACAGUUCGGUCCCUAUCUGCCGUGGGCGCUGGAGAACUGAGGGGGGCUGCUCCUAGUACGAGAGGACCGGAGUGGACGCAUCACUGGUGUUCGGGUUGUCAUGCCAAUGGCACUGCCCGGUAGCUAAAUGCGGAAGAGAUAAGUGCUGAAAGCAUCUAAGCACGAAACUUGCCCCGAGAUGAGUUCUCCCUGACUCCUUGAGAGUCCUGAAGGAACGUUGAAGACGACGACGUUGAUAGGCCGGGUGUGUAAGCGCAGCGAUGCGUUGAGCUAACCGGUACUAAUGAACCGUGAGGCUUAACCUUACAACGCCGAAG